RNAcentral lists this transfer RNA (75 nucleotides) under Candidatus Altimarinota bacterium. Its description in RNAcentral is "tRNA-Asp". It matches the Rfam family "tRNA". From Rfam's summary of the family: Transfer RNA (tRNA) molecules are approximately 80 nucleotides in length. RNAcentral also lists the same sequence under 3 other names. Lineage: Bacteria; Candidatus Altimarinota. The record is from RNAcentral.
GGGGAUGUAGCUCAGUUGGUUGAGAGUGCCGAUCUGUCGAAUCGGAUGUCGCGAGUUCGAGCCUCGUCAUCCCCG